RNAcentral lists this ribosomal RNA (736 nucleotides) under Pediococcus acidilactici. RNAcentral's name for it is "bacterial SSU rRNA". It matches the Rfam family "Bacterial small subunit ribosomal RNA", at positions 801 to 1533 of the family's 1533-position model. The record is from RNAcentral. Lineage: Bacteria; Bacillati; Bacillota; Bacilli; Lactobacillales; Lactobacillaceae.
AGUGGACGAUGAUUACUAAGUGUUGGAGGGUUUCCGCCCUUCAGUGCUGCAGCUAACGCAUUAAGUAAUCCGCCUGGGGAGUACGACCGCAAGGUUGAAACUCAAAAGAAUUGACGGGGGCCCGCACAAGCGGUGGAGCAUGUGGUUUAAUUCGAAGCUACGCGAAGAACCUUACCAGGUCUUGACAUCUUCUGCCAACCUAAGAGAUUAGGCGUUCCCUUCGGGGACAGAAUGACAGGUGGUGCAUGGUUGUCGUCAGCUCGUGUCGUGAGAUGUUGGGUUAAGUCCCGCAACGAGCGCAACCCUUAUUACUAGUUGCCAGCAUUCAGUUGGGCACUCUAGUGAGACUGCCGGUGACAAACCGGAGGAAGGUGGGGACGACGUCAAAUCAUCAUGCCCCUUAUGACCUGGGCUACACACGUGCUACAAUGGAUGGUACAACGAGUUGCGAAACCGCGAGGUUUAGCUAAUCUCUUAAAACCAUUCUCAGUUCGGACUGUAGGCUGCAACUCGCCUACACGAAGUCGGAAUCGCUAGUAAUCGCGGAUCAGCAUGCCGCGGUGAAUACGUUCCCGGGCCUUGUACACACCGCCCGUCACACCAUGAGAGUUUGUAACACCCAAAGCCGGUGGGGUAACCUUUUAGGAGCUAGCCGUCUAAGGUGGGACAGAUGAUUAGGGUGAAGUCGUACAAGGGUAACCAACGGGAAAGUCAAAAUAGGAAAAGAAACAACAAG